AAAAAAAAUCUUCAAAAGCAACGCCUUCAAGAAGCAAACAAUGCACAGGCAUUAUUGUUGCCCGAUCAAAGAUCUUAGAUUUUCAUCCAUGAGAAAAUCCUAGUUCAACCAAAACGAUGCCUUCAACAAGAUCACUGUUAGGUACAACCAAUCAAAACCAGACCUUCGGUUUUCAUCCUCGAGAUCAAAACUUGAUACUCGAGGAGCAGCAUAAAAAUGCAAUACUCCAGUGUUACCGCCUCCGCUUGUCGAGGCCGUUGUUACAACUCACAAAGGGAUGCAUGAAAUAAGUUAGUUAUAGUUACUUGUCUGGCUAUACCCUAUCUACUCCUAGUUGUUCUUGGGCGGGUGGUACCGUGGUCUAUGGUAACCAGCGGUGAAGGGUAUGUGGCCAUCAAAGUAAGCACCCGGACGGAGUCUCCUACUGCUAAAAUAAAAGUCCAUACUCGAAUACUUCCUUCAUGCCCACAUUUCCCAAACAAACCAUUUACACUUGAGCUUGUCAUGCUUCUAUCAUCCGACGCCAGAGAGGAGCCUAGCAAGCAAAACAAUCAUAUUGUUUUUACUGAGUAUUUCUUUUCUUGAGUUAUCAUAAGCGCCACCCCGAAGAAAGUUGCGGGGAUACACCCCGAUCCUCUUUCCCCACUACCCUCCCGCAUCGCUCCCGCAGGCGACAGGGAGGGAACCCUAGCCGCCGCCGGCCUUUUCCCCUCCUCCCGCCCCUUCCUCCCCCGCCACCGCCAUAGAGUGCGCCCAGGCAAAGCCUGGUCGACACUAGCGGCAGCGGGCCUCCUCGUCCCCUCGCCUGUGGCGUCGGUGUGGGCCGCGUCCAUGGGCCAGGGCCUGUCUCUUAUACACAUCUCCGAGCCCACGAGACCUCUAGGUUAUCUCGUAUGCCGUCUUCUGCUUGAAAAAAAAAAAAUUCAUAACAGAAGAAGUAAAGANGGCUUGACCGUGGUGCAGGUGGAGCGGGUUCGUGGGGGCGGCGACGCUCUAUGGUGGUCGUGCCCCCAUCGACGGUGCAGCGUGGCGGAUGUGAUCCUCCUUCUCCUCGGUCUAGAAUGGCUAUGACCGGGGGCGCGUGCUCGGGAGGAUCUGAUCGGGGCCCGAGGCGUGUCGGAGUUGCUACUCCGGGUAGGUGUGAUUAGGCUCGAUCCGGGAUGUACAAGCGGUUGGCGAGGUCCCUCCCUCCGUUGGUACGGUGUUCGUUGGUGGUGGUCGGGACUUCACGGUACUGUCGGGCAACACGGAGUCGAGGGCCACAGAUAUGGCGUUGUCCGAGUGUAGUCGGCGACGGCCGUCGGGAAUCAGGGAGGUGUGUCUCCCCUAGUCUGCCGAGAUUGGCUGGGGACACAGGGUUGGGCCCCUACUGUGGUGGCGCCGGACCAACCUCUGUGGCUCAUGCCGGGCUAGGAGUGAAAUCUGUGGACUUUCGCUCUUCCUACCAUGGCAGGUACUCUCUGGUGUGGGCAGUGGGUGAGGUCCUGGACUUGGAUGCCGGAGCGGCAGCUCCGGAGGGUGGGUCGCUUGGUUGGCUCUUUGGCGGGCGCCGUGUCAGCGAUGGUGGCUUCCUUCUUGGUUCGUGCGGGCGACGAGAGGGGUAGCAGUUGGUGGCUCGGGCGCGUCCUCUGCUGGACGUCGCCCAGAUCUGGAUCUGGGGUAUGGGCAUGCCACGCCUGCCCUAGGGUCGCGGUGACUUUGGAUGGGGUGCCGAGCCAAAGCUCCGCGCUUUUGUGCCGGCGACGGCGACGCUUGCGGGCGCCGUUCUCUUCUUGAAGAAGUCGAUGUGGAUCUCCUCUCCGUGUCAGGUUUCCGGGUGAAGACCCUUGCCCGGUGGGGCUAGGCAGCGACGACGCUCUGCGUCGUUCUCCCUCUUGUGGGCGUUGUCUAGGAGCUUAGGGGUCCUAUGGUGUUUCGUGAUUGUGCUCCAUUCUUCUUGUAUUCUCCUUUGAUAGUGUUGUUGUUCUGCUUCGCGGUUCGGCUAGGAUCUGCUUUGUAAGAGGGUCAUCUCACCAUCAUGUAUCGUUCAGCUGUGUACUUUGUGCGGUUUGUGCCUUUAUCUAUAGAGGGGGGCGAAUGCCUGUUUCGAGAAUAUUUAUUUUCUUCUUUUUUAUCUUUUCUUCGGUUUUCUUUGUUGCAUUCUUUUGUUUUCUUAGUGUUUUUUUCUCGGUUUUCAUCGUUUCCAUUCUCAGAAUAGGAGCAUUUUUUAUACAUGAUUAACAUUUUUUAAAGAAAUGAAAAUUUCUAUGUACAUGUGAAACAUUUUUUGUGUACAUGUUGAACAUUUUCUAAGUACAUGAUUUUUUUAAUAUAUGUUCUGAUGUAUAUUUUCUUGUUCAUACACAUUAUAUAUUUUUGGUAUACAUAGCAAACUUUUUUAUCCCUCUAACAGUUGUCAAAUACAUGAUUAAUAUUUUUUCACAUAUUUUUUUAUAUAAGCUUUUUAUCAUACAUGUUAUUCAUUUUCAGAUACAUCCGGAACAUUUUGUUACACGUUUAAAUUUUUUUACGGGCACCUGGGCACAAAUGCUCCUAGUGUGAACAGUAAAAAAUAUUCCAAAAAAUAGAUUUUUUUAUGAAAUACUUUAAGAAAUGUUUGUUGUGCAUGCAAAAAAUUUAUCAUAAAAUCAUAUUGAUGGAAGGCGUGGUAAAAAAAUUGAUGCUCUGAAAAUGUUACUUUCAAAUGCAUGUUGGAUGUUUGAUAAAAAUUUUCACAACUUCCACGAAUAUGAUUUCGUGAUGAAUUUUUGCAUGCACAAUAAAAAAAAUUAAAUUUCGGCACAAAAAAGUCAUAAUUUUUUGAAAUCUUUUUCUAUUUUUAGUUGUACUGUUCACGGCAUGAGCAUUUUAGCUCAGGUGUAGAAAGGUACUAUCGAUUUAAGGACCGUCUUAUUAUUGUUUCUCAUGCAAGAGUAUAUGUCGUAAAAUCAAGUGAUCAUUCAAUUUUCGUGCUUUGUGUCCUUUUCAAUAGGGAAGAAAAAGAUGAACUGAAAACUUCAUGCAGUGAGUAGUUCAAUGUCAGUUACAUGAGGAACAGUAAGAACCUCAUGACCAUGAUGUCCAACUUAUAAAUACUCCCGUUCAGGUCUAGCUUGUUCAAGACUUGCUCGCGAAUGCCAAAACAACCAACCGAGAACUCUGGAAUAUUGGAGAAAAACAAGAGAUGAUGAGCUAUCCCAGCAAUUUAAGCACAAGAUGUAAGCACAAGAUGUCGCUUAGCAUUUGGAUUCAAAGGGUUACCCCGGACAAGAAGAGUCCUCCUCGGAGCUUCUAUACACGGUGUGUGAGUAGUCAGAUAAUUUUUUUCUACUCGGCCGACAUGCACCCAACGCAUGCAGGGUGGGAGAAAAUAAUGAAGUGGCUGGAGAAUACCUUGAGAGAUUUCAUAGAAGAUAGAUUAGGACUAGCUUAGACUAUAGCUGUCCUGGAUUCUCAAAAUUUAUAUUAUAUAUUUGCAUCCUUUUCUGGAAAUUAUCUUUAGAAUUAGUAAUUAAUGUCUUUCAUCUGUCACGUGCGUAUGUUUUUCAUCCACCUCGAUGUACCUAACCUCACCAUGAUAUCAUGGGUAGCGAGGACACCCAGCACAAAGGAGAACACACCGCGGGAGAGUCUCCCCGGCUAGCCUCGACUGAAUCCACCUCUGAGUUUGACGCAUGUAGACUGCUAUGUGUAUUUCCACAUGAAGGUGGAGGUGUAAUUUCAUAGUGACCUUUAUCUAUCUCAAGAAUCAACCAUUAAUGUUGUUUUUUAUGUCUUCUGCAUUGAGGGCAAGAGGACAUUCAAAUUCAAGAGAAGAUGUCAAUGCAUCAAUUCAUUAACCGAUCCAAUUUCUUUGCUGAGAAAUAUUAUUGUGAAGUCAAGCCGGUGGGAAGUGGAAGGUUGAAAAAGUUGCUGCAAAAACUUCACCCUUUCUCAAGUGAGACCAUUUAUUUUAGGGGACUGUUAGGCGUCCACCCACGGAUGCGCGUUAUACAUCUGUCAUCUCGUUGGCCAUUGGAUCUACACGUAGGCAGCCGUCGAUCGCUUGUCAUGUUCCGCUCCACUACAGGAAUCAGACCCUUUGACGUCUGCCUGCCAUAGCAGACGACAAAGGCCUUUGCC
This 4101-nucleotide long non-coding RNA is filed under the name Hordeum vulgare. RNAcentral describes it as "long non-coding RNA (HVUL_LNC020024)". The record is from RNAcentral. Lineage: Eukaryota; Viridiplantae; Streptophyta; Magnoliopsida; Poales; Poaceae.